This 497-nucleotide ribosomal RNA is filed under the name uncultured bacterium. RNAcentral's name for it is "partial 16S ribosomal RNA". It matches the Rfam family "Bacterial small subunit ribosomal RNA", at positions 28 to 507 of the family's 1533-position model. The record is from RNAcentral.
GAUGAACGCUGGCGGCGUGCCUAAUACAUGCAAGUCGAGCGAACAGAUGAGGAGUUUGCUCCUCUGACGUUAGCGGCGGACGGGUGAGUAACACGUGGAUAACCUACCUAUAAGACUGGGAUAACUUCGGGAAACCGGAGCUAAUACCGGAUAAUAUAUUGAACCGCAUGGUUCAUUAGUGAAAGACGGUUUUGCUGUCACUUAUAGAUGGAUCCGCGCCGCAUUAGGUAGUUGGUAAGGUAACGGCUUACCAAGGCAACGAUGCGUAGCCGACCUGAGAGGAGGAUCAGGCAAAAUGGAACCGAGACACGGUCCCGACUCCCAAGGGAGGGAGGAGGGGGGAAAACUGGCGAAAGGGGGGAAGGCCGAACGAGGCAAGGCGGGGGGGGGAAGAAGGGUCUUGGGAUGGAAAAACCUUGUAGUUGGGAAGAAAGAAAGUUAGAAAAAACUAUGCACGUUUGAAGGUAACCAAAGAAGAAGGCCCGGCUAAACUAGUG